Molecule: ribosomal RNA, 1401 nt
Filed under: uncultured bacterium
Lineage: Bacteria
Description: 16S ribosomal RNA
Rfam family: Bacterial small subunit ribosomal RNA
Source: RNAcentral
AGAGUUUGAUCCUGGCUCAGGAUGAACGCUAGCGACAGGCUUAACACAUGCAAGUCGAGGGGCAGCGGGGGCGUAGCAAUAUGCCUGCCGGCGACCGGCGCACGGGUGAGUAACACGUAUGUAACCUGCCCUAUGCAGGGGGAUAACCCGGAGAAAUCCGGCCUAAUACCGCGUAACACCUUAGGGGAGCAUUCUCUUGAGGUUAAAGGAGAGAUCCGGCAUAGGAUGGACAUGCGUCGCAUUAGGUAGACGGCGGGGUAACGGCCCACCGUGCCGACGAUGCGUAGGGGUUCUGAGAGGAAGGCCCCCCACACUGGUACUGAGACACGGACCAGACUCCUACGGGAGGCAGCAGUGAGGAAUAUUGGUCAAUGGCCGAGAGGCUGAACCAGCCAAGUCGCGUGAGGGAAGAAUGUCCUAAGGAUUGUAAACCUCUUUUGUCGGGGAGCAAAAAGGCUCUGCGGAGUCGUAUUGAGAGUACCCGAAGAAAAAGCAUCGGAUAACUCCGUGCCAGCAGCCGCGGUAAUACGGAGGAUGCGAGCGUUAUCCGGAUUUAUUGGGUUUAAAGGGUGCGCAGGCGGCGUGUCAAGCAAGCGGUAAAAUAGCGGGGCUCAACCCCGUCGAGCCGUUUGAACUGGCGCGCUUGAGUUCAGGCGAGGUAGGCGGAAUUCGUGGUGUAGCGGUGAAAUGCAUAGAUAUCACGAAGAACUCCGAUUGCGAAGGCAGCUUACCAGUCUGCGACUGACGCUCAGGCACGAAAGUGUGGGUAUCGAACAGGAUUAGAUACCCUGGUAGUCCACACAGUAAACGAUGAGCGCUAGGUGUCCGGGUCGCAUGAGACUUGGGUGCCCGAGCGAAAGCGUUAAGCGCUCCACCUGGGGAGUACGCCGGCAACGGUGAAACUCAAAGGAAUUGACGGGGGCCCGCACAAGCGGAGGAACAUGUGGUUUAAUUCGAUGAUACGCGAGGAACCUUACCCGGGCUCAAACGACUCAGGAAUAUAUUGGAAACGAUGUAGCCAGCAAUGGUCUGAGUCGAGGUGCUGCAUGGUUGUCGUCAGCUCGUGCCGUGAGGUGUCGGCUUAAGUGCCAUAACGAGCGCAACCCCUACCGCCAGUUGCCAACGGGUAAAGCCGGGAACUCUGGCGGGACUGCCGGCGCAAGCUGUGAGGAAGGCGGGGAUGACGUCAAAUCAGCACGGCCCUUACGUCCGGGGCGACACACGUGUUACAAUGGCAGGUACAGCGGGAAGCCACCUGGUGACAGGGAGCGGAACCCGAAAGCCUGUCUCAGUUCGGAUUGGAGUCUGCAACUCGACUCCAUGAAGCUGGAUUCGCUAGUAAUCGCGCAUCAGCCAUGGCGCGGUGAAUACGUUCCCGGGCCUUGUACUCACCGCCCGUCA